Molecule: long non-coding RNA, 1594 nt
Organism: Salvia miltiorrhiza (redroot sage)
Lineage: Eukaryota; Viridiplantae; Streptophyta; Magnoliopsida; Lamiales; Lamiaceae
Exons: 2
Source: RefSeq, a predicted model, not a curated record
UUUGGAAACCCGGCGUGAUGAAUCAAGUAUGUUUAGUACAUCCACUAAGACUUUAAGUUAGUUUCACGAGACCUAUUAAGAAUAGAAUUUCUUGUAGGCUUUAUGAACCAAGGGGAUUAGCGCUGCUUUCCCAAGACGAGUUUAUGUGAUUAUGAUCUUCAGGCUUUGCCUAUCCAGGUGGGCAUUACUUUUACUAUACGUAUAUAGAGAUCCCAUGCGUGUCGUAGGCCUCUUAUACGAAUAUAUGCAUGAGAUGAUUUUAACUGUUAAUUUCAGUUUAUUAUUAUGCCCAAAUGAUAAAUGACUCUUAUGAAAUGAAAAUGACAUGUUUAUGAAAUGAAAUGAAAUGUUUAUGAAAUGAUUGACUGCCAAAAAUGUUUAUGUUUUACGUAUGUAUCCUAUCUGUGUUGGUUCGCCAACUUUAAAGGAAAUCCAAUUGGGAUCCUAUGCUAGACAAAGGUCGCUAGCUAGGGUUAACGUGUAUACUUAUGGAGACCGCGAGUCGCUUGCGACCGGUCUUGGCGUCCGUGGUAAGGAGGCCUCCUUCCCGGCGCGUGACAGAAAGGAACAGAUAUGGAUCAUAUGAAGGAAAAUGAUCGGCCGAUCGACUUUAUGAAAAUGAAAGAAAUGUUUUAGUAAGCGCAGGUCUUUCAAGAAAACCCCUGUGUGUUACUGUUAUGGCAGUUCAAUUUAUAUAUGUAUGCAUGUUGUAUUUUCGGCUAUGCCCACUGAGUAUUUUUAUACUCAGCCCUGCAUGUAUUUCUAAAUGUGCAGGUUGAGCAGUUGAUGGAAUGGAAUGAUGUUGAGCGGGUGUUCCUUUGAUCAUUUCAAGAAAUGUAACCUUGAGUAUACAUCUUCAUAUGUAUAUCUCACAUGUUUUCCGCUGCAAAAUACGUUGAUUAGGAUAGCCCUAUGUUAUGAAGUUGGGAUACGUGUUAUUGGGUAAUCCACCUUAAUCAGUUCUCAUUUAUGUGUAUGUUUUAUAAGUAUCCAAAUAAUCAUAUAUGAUCCUAGCAUUUUAUCUAUGAGUGACAUUUCCAUAUACUUUAAUGUUAAGUAAUUGUCCAUUUCCAUUUCUUAUUGUUCACCCCAAGUCAUAACCCCGGUUAACCCGUCAUUGGGAUAGUGGGCUGUGACAGAGUGGUAUCAGAGCGGUUCGUUCGCUCUGGCCCUAGAAACCUUAUUCUAAAGAGUCGAGUCUAGUUUGAUUCUUUAUACUUACAUGGGUUCAUAUGGCACCGCUCAACACUCCAUUGCAUCGUGCUCAAUCAAGGAAAGAAGGUUGAGCAGUUGAUGGAAUGGAAUGAUGUUGAGCGGGUGUUCCUUUGAUCAUUUCAAGAAAUGUAACCUUGAGUAUACAUCUUCAUAUGUAUAUCUCACAUGUUUUCCGCUGCAAAAUACGUUGAUUAGGAUAGCCCUAUGUUAUGAAGUUGGGAUACGUGUUAUUGGGUAAUCCACCUUAAUCAGUUCUCAUUUAUGUGUAUGUUUUAUAAGUAUCCAAAUAAUCAUAUAUGAUCCUAGCAUUUUAUCUAUGAGUGACAUUUCCAUAUACUUUAAUGUUAAGUAAUUGUCCAUUUCCAUUUCUUAUUGUUCA